CAAACGGGUGCGGAACACGUACACAACUUUCCUUUAAGUGGGGGAUAGCCCAGAGAAAUUUGGAUUAAUACCCCGUAAUAUUAUGAAAUGGCAUCAUUUUAUAAUUAUAGCUCCGGCGCUUGAAGAUGGGUGUGCGGCUGAUUAGGUAGUUGGCGGGGUAACGGCCCACCAAGCCUACGAUCAGUAACUGGUGUGAGAGCACGACCAGUCACACGGGCACUGAGACACGGGCCCG
This 235-nucleotide ribosomal RNA is filed under the name uncultured bacterium. RNAcentral's name for it is "partial 16S ribosomal RNA". It matches the Rfam family "Bacterial small subunit ribosomal RNA", at positions 99 to 334 of the family's 1533-position model. The record is from RNAcentral.